Molecule: ribosomal RNA, 505 nt
Filed under: uncultured bacterium
Lineage: Bacteria
Description: partial 16S ribosomal RNA
Rfam family: Bacterial small subunit ribosomal RNA
Source: RNAcentral
AGUGAACGCUGGCGGUAGGCCUAACACAUGCAAGUCGAACGGCAGCACAGGAGAGCCUGCUCUCUGGGUGGCGAGUGGCGGACGGGUGAGGAAUACAUCGGAAUCUACUCUGUCGUGGGGGAUAACGUAGGGAAACUUACGCUAAUACCGCAUACGACCUACGGGUGAAAGCAGGGGACCUUCGGGCCUUGCGCGAUUGAAUGAGCCGAUGUCGGAUUAGCUAGUUGGCGGGGUAAGGCCCACCAAGGCGACGAUCCGUAGCUGGUCUGAGAGGAUGAUCAGCCACACUGGAACUGAGACACGGUCCAGACUCCUACGGGAGGCAGCAGUGGGGAAUAUUGGACAAUGGGCGCAAGCCUGAUCCGGCCAUACCGCGUGGGUGAAGAAGGCCUUCGGGUUGUAAAGCCCUUUUGUUGGGAAAGAAAUCCAGCUGGCUAAUACCCGGUUGGGAUGACGGUACCCAAAGAAUAAGCACCGGCUAACUUCGUGCCAGCCGCCGCCGUAA